Molecule: non-coding RNA, 2389 nt
Organism: Chrysemys picta bellii (western painted turtle)
Lineage: Eukaryota; Metazoa; Chordata; Testudines; Emydidae
Source: RefSeq, a predicted model, not a curated record
CUUUGAUUGGCAGUGAUGGGGAGGACUCGCAUCAGCAUCCCAGGACAAAGAACCUGCCCCGGGCUCGGGAGAUGCUCCUGCCCCGGCACCUGCAGCGGGGCGGCUCGUGCGCCCGGCGCGGGACCGCUGCUGAGCGAAGCCGUGCGGCGAGGAGAGGACACGGUCCCCGGUGGCCAGCGCCCCCCGGGGCCAAGUGCCCGCGGCAGCUUCCAGGCUCCGUCCCCAACUUUCCCGGGGCCAGCGGCUGGGCGCAGACUCCCGCACCGCCGGGACAGGGGCCGAUUAGCGGGAGACGCGGGCGGGGGCCACCGCAGGCCGGAAGACUCUCCUCACCCCCAUCUUGACUAUUCGGUUGGGCGUUUACCUUCUUAUUCCCUCCCCCUGCUCCCACCCCGCGAAGGCUGAGCUAAGAGCUGCGGGAGCAAAGAAGAGGUGCUAGGGCUGGCAGGCUGCUGGCUGGGCUGGCAGCCGGUCCCUGUGGGCUGUGGUUACAGCUUACUGCAUUAGUGGCUGUACUCGGGGGAAGGGGUAUCUUCCCCAAACACUGAAAUGCAGUUAGCUGUGUGGUGGAAGGAGACAGCUGUGUAGCAGUCACAGCAAUACCCCUCAACUUGCCAAGGCCCAAAUGCAGGACGCACUGUGUGAGGAAGGCCCAAAUCAAGGGACACAACACGGUCUCCGGGAAAGCUUCAAGGGGAAUGUGCUAGAGAAGUGUGCUAAAGUACAGAAAAGGGGGUGUGGAACCCUUGUCUUUGAACGCUUAUGACCGAAACGAAAGGGGAAACGCCUGCAGGAGGAACAGCAGUAGAUGUACUGUGGAACAGCCUUUGUUUAAACGUUCUUCAUAGUAUUCAAACACUAUGUACAGUAUUUUCUACUAGUUGCCCUGUGCUUAGUGUGCAUUAAGUGUUUGUUUUACUCAGAGAGCCUAUGGUGCGCUCUCUUUGAAAUAGACACCGGAUUGUUACCGUCCAUUUCUCUGGGCUUUGCAUACAACAGCCCUGAGGUUUACCUGUAUGUGCUGCUUUCUGAACAGGCAGAACUCUGGCCUGAGCUUCAGCACAGAGGAAAGCCGAGGUGCAGGGGAGUGUAGAGUUAUUCAGUGUUGUCUGAGCAUCCCCUACUCACCCUUACACUUGUGCCCCCAGGGUGGGGAGACUGUGUCCUCUCAGGGGACGGAAGGCUGGUGGAACCAUUCCCUGGGGUGGAAAGGGGAGGGGCCAGGCACAAGAGUCAGCCGUGAAAACCAGAUCCUGGGCUUUUUGUGAGGCCAGGGCAGGAAGGGCUGAAUGCAGCAUGCCAGGGCUCACGGCUCCUUGCACCUCAGGACUAGCAACUUGAGAAGCAAAGAGCCCCCCAAGCCCCACCCUGCCUGGCUCCCUCUGUGGGUUUUCUGUCCUCCUUGAUGGGAAUUGACCCUACGUCCAUGUCCGUGUUUUGCCCCCUGCCCCCUGUGCUGGAAUUUGUCCCUUCACAGCAGCAGCAGCAGGAACUCAUUCCCAGGCAGCUGGUGGCCAGGGUGCCAUUCACAGAGCACACAGCUCCCUGUGCAGGCAGAGGGCAGGAUGGGGACUCUGGCGGGAGGUGAUAGCUGCCUUUAGGCUGACGGCUCUAUCAGUGACAUGCGGUCUGGGUGUGUUUCGCUCAUUGCUAUGCCAGCCAAGCUAGUUCACCUGACUAUCCUGGGACAGACACACGUGAAUCCUGCCCGUGCCAGGUUUGGGAGCAGCUGCUCUCCGGGCAGGACAGUCCAUCACUACAGCUCUCUUUGUGCUUGUAGUGCAACUGGGCCAUUUAGCCCUGUUUGUCCCGUAGUCGCUCUGGGACCAGGGAUAUCCCUGACCGCUCGUAGCAGUGGCUAAUGGCCCUCAUUCUGUGGGUGCAGCGUGACAUUCCUGCACAGCUACUGUGCUGCUGCCCUCGGGGCCCUUUGCUGCUACCAGGCUGGGUGGCCGUCAGCCUGCAGCCACAUCCCAAGUGCUUCCUGUUCGCUCUCCUCCUGCUGGCUGAGAGCUGGGGGUGAACUAGGCCACCUGAGCUGCACCUUGGCUACUGAUCAGCUGGUUCUUGACCAGUUAACAACAGCCGAUCCUCUUCCUCCUCCCAGCCUAUUAGAAGAAGAGACCGUGAUCUCUGUUGACUGGAGCAGCUGGGAGCUCACCAACGGGGAGAGCUACUGUUCCCCUGCAGCAGGCCUGAUUCUCCUCAGCGCAUCCCCUUGCCGGGCCACGUAUCUGAGUACAAAGCGAGCGUGGAACGCUCUCAGUUUCGAUACCAGCCUCACCGCCCCAGGCCCAGGUCUAGAAUCAUAGAAUAUCAGCAUUGGAAGGGACCUCAGGAGGUCAUCUAGUCCAACCCCCUGCUCAAAGCAGGACAAACACCAACUAAA